This is a long non-coding RNA of Rhipicephalus microplus (southern cattle tick), 392 nucleotides long. The record is from RefSeq and is a predicted model, not a curated record. NCBI's taxonomy places the organism in Eukaryota, Metazoa, Arthropoda, Arachnida, Ixodida, Ixodidae.
UAAAUUUAGUAGAUAAAUUUGCGCCUAUGGUUGUGGCUUCUCCGUGAGCGUUUGGUGUCGUCCGCGGUGCAAUUUGCGAGUGUGUGAGACAACCAACUUUUCCUGAGUACUGAAGCAUACCAGCACCCUGUAGCUAUAGGAGAUGAAGGAGAUCACUAAAACAUCAAAAUACUUUUUUCUCCAUGAAUAAUGUGUGACUCGAACAAACUGCCACCAGUUCAUAAUGAUAUCUGUCAAUCCUGAACUGGCACACACCUGCAUGAUUCAAUGUCAUACAUUUAUUCAUGAUGCUAGUACAUGUAAUAUGUUUCUAUUGAUUGUUGCUUACCUUUACUGUGUAUUCAUUAGCCUUCUGCCUAAUGUGUUUAUUAAACCAAGCAUGUCUUUUUUUC